GGUAGGACUACCCGCUGAACUUAAGCA
RNAcentral lists this ribosomal RNA (27 nucleotides) under Laccaria bicolor. RNAcentral describes it as "partial 28S ribosomal RNA". Lineage: Eukaryota; Fungi; Basidiomycota; Agaricomycetes; Agaricales; Hydnangiaceae. The record is from RNAcentral.